GGCCACAGCUAUAUCACCCUGCAGCCCAAGACCCGUUACUCACUGAUGCUAAGCAGGGCUGAGCCUGGUCAUUACCUAGAUGGGAUACCCCAUGAGAAAACUAGGUUGCUGUUGGAA
Danio rerio (zebrafish) is the source of this 117-nucleotide ribosomal RNA. NCBI's taxonomy places the organism in Eukaryota, Metazoa, Chordata, Actinopteri, Cypriniformes, Danionidae. The record is from Ensembl.